UGGGGUAUAGCUCAGUGGUAGAGAGCCUGCUUAGCAUACACAAGGAUGUGGGUUCAAUCCCCAGUACCUCCA
This 72-nucleotide transfer RNA is filed under the name Camelus bactrianus (Bactrian camel). It matches the Rfam family "tRNA". Rfam says of the family: Transfer RNA (tRNA) molecules are approximately 80 nucleotides in length. The record is from Rfam by way of RNAcentral. Lineage: Eukaryota; Metazoa; Chordata; Mammalia; Artiodactyla; Camelidae. RNAcentral also lists the same sequence under 2 other names.